RNAcentral lists this transfer RNA (67 nucleotides) under Pectinatella magnifica. Its description in RNAcentral is "tRNA-Asn". Lineage: Eukaryota; Metazoa; Bryozoa; Phylactolaemata; Pectinatellidae. The record is from RNAcentral.
UGAGUGGAAACCAAUUAAUUGGUUCCUAGCUGUUAAUUAGGAUUAAGUGAAAUGUUCACCCAUUCAA